RNAcentral lists this ribosomal RNA (253 nucleotides) under uncultured bacterium. RNAcentral's name for it is "partial 16S ribosomal RNA". It matches the Rfam family "Bacterial small subunit ribosomal RNA", at positions 524 to 776 of the family's 1533-position model. The record is from RNAcentral.
UACGUAGGGCGCAAGCGUUGUCCGGAAUUAUUGGGCGUAAAGAGCUCGUAGGCGGUUUGUCGCGUCUGUCGUGAAAGCUUGGGGCUUAACCCCAAGUCUGCGGUGGAUACGGGCAGACUAGAGGCAGGUAGGGGAGAACGGAAUUCCCGGUGUAGCGGUGAAAUGCGCAGAUAUCAGGAGGAACACCGAUGGCGAAGGCAGGUCUCUGGGCCACUACUGACGCUGAGAAGCGAAAGCAUGGGGAGCGAACAGG